This 301-nucleotide ribosomal RNA is filed under the name uncultured bacterium. RNAcentral's name for it is "partial 16S ribosomal RNA". It matches the Rfam family "Bacterial small subunit ribosomal RNA", at positions 509 to 809 of the family's 1533-position model. The record is from RNAcentral.
CAGUCGCCGCGGGAAUACAGAGGGUGCAAGCGUUAAUCGGAAUUACUGGGCGUAAAGCGCGCGUAGGUGGUUCGCCAAGUUGGAUGUGAAAUCCCCGGGCUCAACCUGGGAACUGCAUCCAAAACUGGCGAGCUAGAGUAUGGUAGAGGGUGGUGGAAUUUCCUGUGUAGCGGUGAAAUGCGUAGAUAUAGGAAGGAACAUCAGUGGCGAAGGCGACCACCUGGACUGAUACUGACACUGAGGUGCGAAAGCGUGGGGAGCAAACAGGAUUAGAUACCCCAGUAGUCCCUGUCUCUUAUAA